Molecule: ribosomal RNA, 403 nt
Filed under: bacterium
Lineage: Bacteria
Also listed under: 1 other name
Description: partial 16S ribosomal RNA
Rfam family: Bacterial small subunit ribosomal RNA
Source: RNAcentral
GGGGGAAUAUUGCACAAUGGAGGGAACUCUGAUGCAGCGACGCCGCGUGAACGAAGAAGGCUUUCGAGUCGUAAAGUUCUUUUAUAUGGGAAGAUAAUGACGGUACCAUAAGAAAAAGCCCCGGCUAACUACGUGCCAGCAGCCGCGGUAAUACGUAGGGGGCUAGCGUUGUCCGGAAUCACUGGGCGUAAAGGGUUCGCAGGCGGAAAUGCAAGUCAGGUGUAAAAGGCAGUAGCUUAACUACUGUAAGCAUUUGAAACUGCAUAUCUUGAGAAGAGUAGAGGUAAGUGGAAUUUUUAGUGUAGCGGUGAAAUGCGUAGAUAUUAAAAAGAAUACCGGUGGCGAAGGCGACUUACUGGGCUCAUUCUGACGCUGAGGAACGAAAGCGUGGGUAGCAAACAGG